CGGCGGGGACGACCUCGCCAUGACCGGGCAAGUGUCGGGACGGCCCGA
This 48-nucleotide non-coding RNA is filed under the name Rhodospirillales bacterium. RNAcentral's name for it is "Guanidine-II sequence". It matches the Rfam family "Guanidine-II riboswitch aptamer (mini-ykkC)". Rfam says of the family: Simpler in structure and has fewer highly conserved nucleotide positions than the ykkC-yxkD leader. Despite this each of its two stem-loop structures directly bind free guanidine. Lineage: Bacteria; Pseudomonadati; Pseudomonadota; Alphaproteobacteria; Rhodospirillales. RNAcentral also lists the same sequence under 1 other name. The record is from RNAcentral.